This 690-nucleotide ribosomal RNA is filed under the name Lactobacillus amylovorus. RNAcentral describes it as "bacterial SSU rRNA". It matches the Rfam family "Bacterial small subunit ribosomal RNA", at positions 57 to 716 of the family's 1533-position model. Lineage: Bacteria; Bacillati; Bacillota; Bacilli; Lactobacillales; Lactobacillaceae. The record is from RNAcentral.
GCAGUCGAGCGAGCGGAACAACAGAUUUACUUCGGUAAUGACGUUGGGAAAGCGAGCGGCGGAUGGGUGAGUAACACGUGGGGAACCUGCCCCUAAGUCUGGGAUACCAUUUGGAAACAGGUGCUAAUACCGGAUAAUAAAGCAGAUCGCAUGAUCAGCUUUUGAAAGGCGGCGUAAGCUGUCGCUAAGGGAUGGCCCCGCGGUGCAUUAGCUAGUUGGUAAGGUAACGGCUUACCAAGGCGACGAUGCAUAGCCGAGUUGAGAGACUGAUCGGCCACAUUGGGACUGAGACACGGCCCAAACUCCUACGGGAGGCAGCAGUAGGGAAUCUUCCACAAUGGACGCAAGUCUGAUGGAGCAACGCCGCGUGAGUGAAGAAGGUUUUCGGAUCGUAAAGCUCUGUUGUUGGUGAAGAAGGAUAGAGGUAGUAACUGGCCUUUAUUUGACGGUAAUCAACCAGAAAGUCACGGCUAACUACGUGCCAGCAGCCGCGGUAAUACGUAGGUGGCAAGCGUUGUCCGGAUUUAUUGGGCGUAAAGCGAGCGCAGGCGGAAAAAUAAGUCUAAUGUGAAAGCCCUCGGCUUAACCGAGGAACUGCAUCGGAAACUGUUUUUCUUGAGUGCAGAAGAGGAGAGUGGAACUCCAUGUGUAGCGGUGGAAUGCGUAGAUAUAUGGAAGAACACCAGUGGC